CUCUUUUCAUUUAAGAAAUCACCUAUGACUUUCUUUAAAUGAACAUUUUCUUUCUCGAGCUCAUAGUUCUCAUUCUUUAGAUCAAUGAGUUCCAUAAUUGAUAGACAACUCUUAUCCUGCAUGGUUAGUUCACAAGAUGUUGUAUCAAUAGAAUGUAAUUCAGAAUUAAUAGAAUGUACCUCACUAUUAGUCUCUGAAUCCGAAUCGGUUGUCUCUAUUGAGCCAUCGAGACCAACAAGAGCCAAGUUAACCAUCUCAUCACUUGAAACAUCAGAAGCUGAUUCAUCCUCAUCAUCACUCCAUGUGAGAAGUGCCUUUGAUUUCUUCUUGUUCUUGUAAUCAGCUUGCUGUUUAGGCUGCUUAGACUUGUUUUUCAGCUUGUAGCAAUCCCUUUUGAAAUGUCCUUUCUUGC
This 412-nucleotide long non-coding RNA is filed under the name Daucus carota (carrot). RNAcentral describes it as "long non-coding RNA (DCAR_LNC004808)". Lineage: Eukaryota; Viridiplantae; Streptophyta; Magnoliopsida; Apiales; Apiaceae. The record is from RNAcentral.